This 73-nucleotide transfer RNA is filed under the name Phrynosoma platyrhinos (Desert horned lizard). RNAcentral's name for it is "tRNA-OTHER". The record is from RNAcentral. Lineage: Eukaryota; Metazoa; Chordata; Lepidosauria; Squamata; Phrynosomatidae.
AGCAUGGUGUAGUAGUGGUUUGAGUGUUAGACUAGGACUCUGGGAGACCAGGGUUCAAAUCCCUGCUCAGCCA